UGUGCUCCUCUAACCUAAAUUACUGCUCUAAGGCUCCGAUCCUAUCUAAUAGGUAUCCAUCUCUCUCCUAAAACUAUGAAGCUCUAUUUGCACGAUGGAGGAGAGGUGUGAUAGGUCCACCUAUGGAGCCACUAGGUGCUCCCGCUCUACCCUUAGUCAAUCAAGAACCAAUAUCUCUACUAUCUACCUCAUUUGAUCCUCAUCCAAUAGCAUAUAGAAGGGCUGAGCGGGCUAAGAAACUCCAACUAGUGUGACAAGAGGUGUCGAUGUUGGGGGUAAUGCAGUUGAAGGUGUCUAGGGCUUUGCUACUAGUGGAGGAUACUCUAGCUAUGCUCCACUUAGCCCAUCCUUGUCCCUCAGUCUAUCCUAUCCUGAGUUCCUCCGAACCCAUCAAUCUUCUAACUUGCAGUAGCUUAUACGAUAUAGUGAUUGCUCAUUUUAGAUAUCUAAGUGUAUG
This 457-nucleotide long non-coding RNA is filed under the name Elaeis guineensis (African oil palm). RNAcentral's name for it is "long non-coding RNA (EGUI_LNC031732)". The record is from RNAcentral. Lineage: Eukaryota; Viridiplantae; Streptophyta; Magnoliopsida; Arecales; Arecaceae.